ACUUUCUUCAGGGCUAUCAGAUGAAGGCAGCAACGAAAACACCACCACAAGACCAACUUCAGGCUGGAGCUGAUGAUGCCACACAGAAAAUAGACUCUACUUAGAAAUGAAACUCAACUAAAGGUAAAAGUUGUCAGGAACAUCUCCAAGAAAGCCAGAGUCAGCCUCUAAACUUUGCAUCAAGAACGCAAUGGCUUCCCUGAGGGCCCAGGGACGCGUGGCAGCUGUGAGGCAGCCCCUUCUCUGCUGUCGAGGAACUGGACACUUCUCCUGUCCCUUCCCACAAGGGGCUUCCUGGAGCUCCUGCAACCCCAGGCAUUAGUUCCGGUGCAGUUCUAGGAUCAGAUCAAUUCACUCGACAACAAGAGAAACAAAUGGAGAUUCCUACACAAAGACUUUCAAGCACAAAGAAAUCCUGCUGCCUGUAAAGCGGAGCUGCCUCAGCCCUUGAUGAACGACAGAAAAUACCACCUACUGCCAGACCUCAACGCCUCACAAAACUCUCACCCACCUACUGCUUUUAGCUCACAUUCCAGGAAUUCAGAUGAAGUGAAGUGCUCUCAUGGGGACCAGGCAUGGUUAUGCCAGUCCACUGCCCUGCAAGCCUCAAGGGAAGCCAACUGCCCUUCAGCAAGUCACACCUGCCUUGGUGGAGGCCUUGAUUGGAAGUGCCACACGCUACAUGUCCAGUCCUGAGCGGGAGAAUCGGUGUAGGGACGUUCUGGGGAUGCCAGCUGUGGCCAGAUCAGGUCCAACUACAGAAGAAUAAUGAAGACUCCACCUGAGGGCUGGAAAAACAAAACCUCAAGUGUGAGGCAGCCAACCUGUUACCUCGAGGGACUGUUCCGCAGCACAGCGGGGCCAUGGGAACAGCAGCAGACACCCCGACCUCCUCGCUACCUAUCAACUAUGGCCUGAGUAUGAUAGACUUAUCCAUGGUUUAAACAGAAUAUAUUGUUUUCAACUUUGAAAAUAAGAAUAUGGAAAUCCAGAUGCAGAAAUGUGAGAAGAAAAGAGAGUAAACAGAGUGGAAGGUCAGGUGACCUUGCCUGUCAUGAAUAUGAAGGUCAAGGUGUGUGAAUUGUGAAAUUUCCAAGAGAACCUCACUGAAGCAAAGAAUGAAGAAAGAAUUGCAUUUGGCCCUGGGAGGGUGCAGGGGUGAAUGGUGCAGGAGCUAAAUCUUUAUCAUACCCAGAAAUCAACAGCCACUAUUUGAAAUCAUCUAAAUUCGUGCUGCUAACCUUCAGUGUACACACGAAUCACCUGGGGAUCUUACUAAAAGCUAGUUUCUGAUUCACUAAAUCUGUGUGUGGUGGAAGUUGAGGGCAGAGAAGCUCCCGAGGGUGUCAAGCUGACUCUGAACCCGACUUUGAGGGUUAAGGUCCCAAAUGGCAUCGCCAGCACCAGGGACAGACACUAAAAUUGUAGAAAUCGUCUCAAGAAAUGAACAGCCUCUAAGUCAGAUGUUGAAUGUGAAAGAAAUCAGGGUGUGUACGUGUGUGUGCAUUUGUGUGUGCACGUGUGUGCCUGUGUUUGUCUCUGUGCAUGUAUGUUUCUAUGUGUGCACAUGUGUGUAUGUGUCUGUACAUGUGUGUUUCUGUGUGUGUGCCUGUGUGUGUAUUGGCUUAGAUCUGUUCGAGACUUUUUAUUUGAUGAGAUCGAUAUAUGCCACCACUUUUGGAAAGGACAACGUAUAUACAAAGACAAUGAUUACUUAUGUAAU
RNAcentral lists this long non-coding RNA (1723 nucleotides) under Homo sapiens (human). Its description in RNAcentral is "novel transcript". Lineage: Eukaryota; Metazoa; Chordata; Mammalia; Primates; Hominidae. The record is from RNAcentral.